This 555-nucleotide long non-coding RNA is filed under the name Brassica napus (rape). Its description in RNAcentral is "long non-coding RNA (BNAP_LNC017295)". The record is from RNAcentral. Lineage: Eukaryota; Viridiplantae; Streptophyta; Magnoliopsida; Brassicales; Brassicaceae.
CAACAAUCCAAUCCGUGCUGCUUGAUAGCACCAUAAUCAAUCUCUAUCUAAGCUGUUUGUUAUUUUCUAAGAUUUCUCUUUGUUUUUUAAAAAACGCUUUCGUAGGAUUUCCUUUUGGUGUUGCUAAAAAAGGCUUUCCCUUUGGUUUUUGCCCCAACAACUUUUUUUUUUUUUGAACAAUUGCCCCAACAACUUUUCGCUUCGUAUUUGUAAAUAGAGAUGCUUAAAUUAAUAUCACAAUUCCUUCUUCAUAUUAGCAUAAUUGGUUGUGUGAUGAUUAACAAGACAAAGCCCUACAUCACUUCAAUGGUAGUCGAAAUUGGUUAGAUUAAAAAAUUUAGUUCAAAAUGCAAAAUAUAAUUGGAAUUACUGUCAACCUAAACUCCACCUUCAAAAUUAAAUAUUCUUACUGACCAUUCCAUUCGAAUUACGAUUAUGCAUCCAACUUCGAAAUGGGUUCUCCAUCGGACCACAUACAUUACGAGAGCCAAAUAAUCAUAAUGAUUAGCUACCAUUACAAGUACAAAUGAUGUCAGAAACACAAAUAAGUGAAAC